ACAUGCAAGUCAAGGAGAACGGAUCCUUCGGGAUACUAUUAAACUGGCGAACGGGUGAGUAACGCGUAGGCAACCUGCCUUGGAGAUUGGGAUAACCCCGGGAAACCGGAGCUAAUACCAAAUAAUGCAGCGGAUCCUUCGGGAUAUGUUGUUAAAGUGGGCUUCGGCUCACACUUCAAGAUGGGCCUGCGUCCGAUUAGCUUGUUGGUGAGGUAAUGGCUCACCAAGGCGAUGAUCGGUAGCUGGUCUGAGAGGAUGAUCAGCCACACUGGGAUUGAGAUACGGCCCAGACUCCUACGGGAGGCAGCAGUGGGGAAUUUUGCGCAAUGGACGAAAGUCUGACGCAGCAACGCCGCGUGAUCGAUGAAGCUUCUAGGAGUGUAAAGAUCUGUCGUGAGGGAAGAAAAAUCUGGAUGUAAAUAAUGUUCAGACGUGACGGUACCUCACAAGAAAGCACCGGCUAACUUCGUGCCAGCAGCCGCGGUAAUACGAGGGGUGCUAGCGUUGUCCGGAAUUACUGGGCGUAAAGGGUUCGUAGGCGUCUUGCCAAGUUGAUCGUUAAAGCCACCGGCUUAACCGGUGAUCUGCGAUCAAAACUGGCGAGAUAGAAUAUGUGAGGGGAAUGUGGAAUUCCUGGUGUAGCGGUGACAUGCGUAGAUAUCAGGAGGAACACCAAUGGCGAAGGCAGCAUUCUGGCACAAUAUUGACGCUGAGGAACGAAAGCGUGGGGAGCAAACAGGAUUAGAUACCCUGGUAGUCCACGCCGUAAACGAUGAGUACUUGGUGGUGGGGGAUUCGACCCCUUCACUAUCGGAGCUAACGCGUUAAGUACUCCGCCUGGGGACUACGGCCGCAAGGCUGAAACUCGU
This 869-nucleotide ribosomal RNA is filed under the name marine metagenome. RNAcentral describes it as "bacterial SSU rRNA". It matches the Rfam family "Bacterial small subunit ribosomal RNA", at positions 53 to 904 of the family's 1533-position model. The record is from RNAcentral.